This 253-nucleotide ribosomal RNA is filed under the name uncultured bacterium. RNAcentral's name for it is "partial 16S ribosomal RNA". It matches the Rfam family "Bacterial small subunit ribosomal RNA", at positions 524 to 776 of the family's 1533-position model. The record is from RNAcentral.
UACAGAGGGUGCAAGCGUUAAUCGGAAUUACUGGGCGUAAAGCGUGCGUAGACGGUUACAUAAGUCGGGUGUGAAAGCCCCGGGCUCGACCUGGGAAUUGCAUUCGAGACUGCGUAGCUAGGGUGCGGAAGAGGGAAGCGGAAUUUCCGGUGUAGCGGUGAAAUGCGUAGAUAUCGGAAGGAACACCAGUGGCGAAAGCGGCUUCCUGGUCCAGCACCGACGUUCAGGCACGAAAGCGUGGGGAGCAAACAGG